Molecule: long non-coding RNA, 638 nt
Organism: Empidonax traillii (willow flycatcher)
Lineage: Eukaryota; Metazoa; Chordata; Aves; Passeriformes; Tyrannidae
Exons: 3
Source: RefSeq, a predicted model, not a curated record
CAGAACCACAGACCUUGUUUACUUUGCUUGGAGGCUUACCUGCUGCAGUAAAUCCCAGUCUGGGAUUAACUAGCCACUGGAAAUAUGCAUGCUAAUGAUCCCACUCAGCCUGAUUUAUUCUUAGUGAGACACUAAAGUGGGCACACUGGGUUGGAGUGAGCACACAAGCCAAAUUUCUGCAGGUUGGGCAUAGCCAAGGAGUCCUAGAAGGAAGAGGACUAGCUCAUACUCAGCCCUGCAACAGCACAGGCACAAGAAAGGCACAUAUAGUUCCAGAUAAAUUUUAACUUAUCCAGUUUAAUAUUGCUGAUGAUGUCCUCAGCAGUUCUCUCCCCAGUUAUUCUUUGGUCAACUGAAUGGGUCUGUAAACAGAAAAUAACAACUUGUGAAAGUGACAUGCAUUUGUCUGCUAGUCACCAGCUCUGCUCAUACUCUUUCUUGUUGAUUUCAGUUGCAGUCAUGCUAUUUCUUCUAACAACAAAAAAAUUCUCUGAAAAUUUAAGGAUCAUAAAUCUCUUCAAACUCUCCAAGCAGAGCCCACCAGAAAGUUGCUAUAAUAGUUCAUGGUCAAAGAGAUGAUGGAUACAUCUAUCAAAUAGAAGCAGCCUGAGAUACAAUUUAUGUAUGUUUGCCUUCAG